Molecule: ribosomal RNA, 183 nt
Filed under: uncultured bacterium
Lineage: Bacteria
Description: partial small subunit ribosomal RNA
Rfam family: Bacterial small subunit ribosomal RNA
Source: RNAcentral
AGCCUGAACGCUGGCGGCGUGGCUAAGACAUGCAAGUCGCACGGAGGUAGCAAUACCUUAGUGGCGAACGGGUGAGUAAAGUAUCGCUAACGUACCCUUUAGUCCGGGAUAGCCAGGGGAAACUCUGGGUAAUACCGGGAAACAUUCUCUUUUCGCAUGAUGAGAGACUCAAAGGAGCAAUCC